UUUAACGGCCGCGGUACUUUGACCGUGCGAAGGUAGCGUAAUCACUUGUCUUUUAAAUGGAGACCUGUAUGAAUGGCAUAACGAGGGCUUAACUGUCUCCUUUUUCUAAUCAAUGAAAUUGAUCUCCCCGUGCAGAAGCGGGGAUAAACACAUAAGACGAGAAGACCCUGUGGAGCUUAAGAUAGUGGACAGACCAUGUUUAUAAAACUAACCUAAACAGAGUAAACUAAUUGAUUUACUGUGCCAUGUCUUUGGUUGGGGCGACCAUGGGGUAACAAAAAACCCCCACGUAGAAAGAGAGUAUUACUCUCACAACCCAGAGUGACAACUCCAAGUAGCAGAACCUCUGACUAAUCAUGAUCCGGCAAUGCCGAUCAACGGAUCCAGUUACCCUAGGGAUAACAGCGCAAUCCCCUCCGCAAGACCUUAUCAACGAGGGGGUUUACGACCUCGAUGUUGGAUCAGGACAUCCUAAUGGUGUAGCCGCUAUUAAGGGUUCGUUUGUUCAACGAUUAAAGUC
This 520-nucleotide ribosomal RNA is filed under the name Strongylura marina (Atlantic needlefish). Its description in RNAcentral is "partial 16S large subunit ribosomal RNA". It matches the Rfam family "Bacterial large subunit ribosomal RNA", at positions 1923 to 2595 of the family's 2925-position model. Lineage: Eukaryota; Metazoa; Chordata; Actinopteri; Beloniformes; Belonidae. The record is from RNAcentral.